Molecule: transfer RNA, 776 nt
Filed under: Bradyrhizobium japonicum
Lineage: Bacteria; Pseudomonadati; Pseudomonadota; Alphaproteobacteria; Hyphomicrobiales; Nitrobacteraceae
Rfam family: tRNA (bases 188-261)
Source: RNAcentral
CUAAGGAUGGUUCUUCAGAAGCUUGCUUCUAUCGAACCGUUUUAGAAACAUCAGUGGCCAACAGAUCGCCAGAUCGUUGAGCUGCAUUGGCGGGAUUUCGCCGUCUUCGUUUCUCUUUCUUCGCGGACGAACACGCGCUGGGGCUGCAGGCUUGCAGAUCCCUGGUCCUUGACUGGAUAUGCGUUAGGGGCUUGUAGCUCAGUUGGUUAGAGCGCGCGCUUGAUAAGCGUGAGGUCGGAAGUUCAAGUCUUCCCAGGCCCACCACUUUCAUCGAGUGUGCAUUCGUCUUCUGGUUACGGGGCCAUAGCUCAGCUGGGAGAGCGCGUGCUUUGCAAGCAUGAGGUCGUCGGUUCGAUCCCGUCUGGCUCCACCAGAUGGUUUGAUCACCGAGAUCUUGUACCGUCGUCCGCGAAACAUCACUUCGCACUUGCUAGUCCGGAUGGACAGUAAGCUGCGUGAUUUCUGACAUCGUAAAGAGGAGAUCGAUCCGAGUUGGAUCGUGCGGAGAAUAUCUGCGCGAUACUUCAUUAUCUCCGGAUCAUUUCGGCGCUCGCGCGCCUUUCAGUGUAGCUCACAAGGCUGCGGCUGAGAGACGGGCGAGUUGUGAAUGAUCCUUUUAGCGAAGCUUGACCGCCUCGCUAUCGGAACGAUCUUACGAAGCAAGCUGGUCUUUCUAGUCAAUGUCCGGCUGCAGAUAGCGUUCAUCGAGGGCGCGUGCCGCAAGGUAAUUCUGCAGACAACAUUCUGCCGAGUGUGUGGACAUUGAUAAUGAGAGC